GAUGAACGCUGGCGGCGUGCCUAAUACAUGCAAGUCGAGCGAACUUUUGGGAGCUUGCUCCCAAAAGUUAGCGGCGGACGGGUGAGUAACACGUGGGUAACCUGCCUGUAAUACUGGGAUAACUUCGGGAAACCGGAGCUAAUACCGGAUAACAUUGAAGCCCACAUUGCCUUCAAUUAAAAUUUGGCUUUUAGCUACCACUUACAGAUGGACCCGCGGCGCAUUAGCUAGUUGGUGAGGUAACGGCUCACCAAGGCGACGAUGCGUAGCCGACCUGAGAGGGUGGUCGGCCACAAUGGGACUGAGACACGGCCCAGAAUCCUACGGGAGGCAGCAGUAGGGAAUCUUUCGCAAUGGACGAAAGUCUGGCGGAGCAACGCCGGGUGAGGGAAGAAGGCCUUCGGGUCGUAAAGCUCUGUUGUUAGGGAAGAAAAAGUAUCGUUCGAAUAGGGCGGUACCUUGACGGUACCUAACGAGAAAGCAACGGCUAACUACGUG
This 498-nucleotide ribosomal RNA is filed under the name uncultured bacterium. RNAcentral describes it as "partial 16S ribosomal RNA". It matches the Rfam family "Bacterial small subunit ribosomal RNA", at positions 28 to 507 of the family's 1533-position model. The record is from RNAcentral.